GAUGAACGCUGGCGGCGUGCCUAAUACAUGCAAGUCGAGCGAACGGACGAGAAGCUUGCUUUUCUGAUGUUAGCGGCGGACGGGUGAGUAACACGUGGAUAACCUACCUAUAAGACUGGGAUAACUUCGGGAAACCGGAGCUAAUACCGGAUAAUAUUUUGAACCGCAUGGUUCAAAAGUGAAAGACGGUCUUGCUGUCACUUAUAGAUGGAUCCGCGCUGCAUUAGCUAGUUGGUAAGGUAACGGCUUACCAAGGCAACGAUGCAUAGCCGACCUGAGAGGGGGAUCGGCCACACUGGAACUGAGACACGGUCCAGACUCCUACGGGAGGCAGCAGUAGGGAAUCUUCCGCAAAGGGCGAAAGCCUGACGGAGCAACGCCGCGUGAGUGAUGAAGGUCUUCGGAUCGUAAAACUCUGUUAUUAGGGAAGAACAUAUGUGUAAGUAACUGUGCACAUCUUGACGGUACCUAAUCAGAAAGCCACGGCUAACUACGUG
This 497-nucleotide ribosomal RNA is filed under the name uncultured bacterium. Its description in RNAcentral is "partial 16S ribosomal RNA". It matches the Rfam family "Bacterial small subunit ribosomal RNA", at positions 28 to 507 of the family's 1533-position model. The record is from RNAcentral.